RNAcentral lists this ribosomal RNA (496 nucleotides) under uncultured bacterium. RNAcentral describes it as "partial 16S ribosomal RNA". It matches the Rfam family "Bacterial small subunit ribosomal RNA", at positions 33 to 507 of the family's 1533-position model. The record is from RNAcentral.
AUACACGCUGGCGGCGUGCCUAAUACAUGCAAGUCGAGCGAACAGACGAGGAGCUUGCUCCUCUGACGUUAGCGGCGGACGGGUGAGUAACACGUGGAUAACCUACCUAUAAGACUGGGAUAACUUCGGGAAACCGGAGCUAAUACCGGAUAAUAUAUUGAACCGCAUGGUUCAAUAGUGAAAGACGGUUUUGCUGUCACUUAUAGAUGGAUCCGCGCCGCAUUAGCUAGUUGGUAAGGUAACGGCUUACCAAGGCAACGAUGCGUAGCCGACCUGAGAGGGUGAUCGGCCACACUGGAACUGAGACACGGUCCAGACUCCUACGGGAGGCAGCAGUAGGGAAUCUUCCGCAAUGGGCGAAAGCCUGACGGAGCAACGCCGCGUGAGUGAUGAAGGUCUUCGGAUCGUAAAACUCUGUUAUUAGGGAAGAACAAAUGUGUAAGUAACUAUGCACGUCUUGACGGUACCUAAUCAGAAAGCCACGGCUAACUACGUG